CAUUUUUUUUUUUUUUUUGAAAAAUAAAGUCUGCCCACUGAAUUUUUAAAGGGCCGCAGUAUUCUAACUGUGCAAAGGUAGCAUAAUCAUUAGUUUCUUAAUUAGGGGAUUGUAUGAAUGGCUUAACAAGGUUAUAUUUUAUUAAGAUUAAGAGGACUAAAAUUUAAUUUGGGGUGAAAAUUCUUCAUUUCUACUAAGGGACGAUAAGACCCUAUAGACCUUUAUAUGAUUUUCAGGGUGUGAGGAUUAGUGGCUGGGGUAUCCUUGGAAUCGUAUUUAGCUGGGGUAGCUUUAGAAUAAGGUUAAUUUCUUUUUUAUUAUAAAUUUUCUAUUAUUAUUAAUUUUAAAAAGGUACCUUAGGGAUAACAGCGUAAUUUUUUUUGGGGAGUUCUUAUCGAUAAAAUAUCUUGCGACCUCGAUGUUGAAUUAAAGUAGGUUGCUGGGGUAGAUUUUAGCAUUGUUGGUCUGUUCAACCAUUADUAUUUUACAUGAUUUGA
Molecule: ribosomal RNA, 497 nt
Filed under: Pygmarrhopalites sp. A1 AK-2018
Lineage: Eukaryota; Metazoa; Arthropoda; Collembola; Symphypleona; Arrhopalitidae
Description: partial 16S ribosomal RNA
Rfam family: Bacterial large subunit ribosomal RNA
Source: RNAcentral